RNAcentral lists this ribosomal RNA (206 nucleotides) under uncultured bacterium. Its description in RNAcentral is "partial 16S ribosomal RNA". It matches the Rfam family "Bacterial small subunit ribosomal RNA", at positions 568 to 774 of the family's 1533-position model. The record is from RNAcentral.
CGUGUAGGCGGUCAGGUAGGUCCGUUGUGAAAACUCGAGGCUCAACCUCGAGACGCCGAUGGAAACCAUCUGACUAGAGUCCGGAAGAGGAGAGUGGAAUUCCUGGUGUAGCGGUGAAAUGCGCAGAUAUCAGGAAGAACACCCGUGGCUAAGGCGGCUCUCUAGUACGGUACUGACGCUGAGACGCGAAAGCGUGGGAGCGAACA